RNAcentral lists this ribosomal RNA (465 nucleotides) under uncultured bacterium. RNAcentral describes it as "partial 16S ribosomal RNA". It matches the Rfam family "Bacterial small subunit ribosomal RNA", at positions 338 to 795 of the family's 1533-position model. The record is from RNAcentral.
CCUACGGGGGGCAGCAGUAGGGAAUCUUCCACAAUGGGCGAAAGCCUGAUGGAGCAACGCCGCGUGGGUGAAGAAGGUCUUCGGAUCGUAAAACCCUGUUGUUAGAGAAGAAAGUGCGUGAGAGUAACUGUUCACGUUUCGACGGUAUCUAACCAGAAAGCCACGGCUAACUACGUGCCAGCAGCCGCGGUAAUACGUAGGGGGCAAGCGUUAUCCGGAUUUAUUGGGCGUAAAGGGAACGCAGGCGGUCUUUUAAGUCUGAUGUGAAAGCCUUCGGCUUAACCGGAGUAGUGCAUUGGAAACUGGGAGACGUGAGUGCAGAAGAGGAGGGUGGAACUCCAGGUGUAGCGGUGAAAUGCGUAGAUAUAUGGAAGAACACCAGUGGCGAAAGCGGCUCUCUGGUCUGUAACUGACGCUGAGGUUCGAAAGCGUGGGUAGCAAACAGGAUUAGAUACCCCUGUAGUC